RNAcentral lists this ribosomal RNA (500 nucleotides) under uncultured bacterium. RNAcentral describes it as "partial 16S ribosomal RNA". It matches the Rfam family "Bacterial small subunit ribosomal RNA", at positions 28 to 523 of the family's 1533-position model. The record is from RNAcentral.
GAUGAACGCUAGCGACAGGCUUAACACAUGCAAGUCGAGGGGCAGCAACACUUUCGGGUGGUUGGCGACCGGCGCACGGGUGAGUAACACGUAUGCAGCCUACCUACUACUAGAGGAUAGCCCGUUGAAAGACGGAUUAAUACUUUAUGACACAGGGGUGCCGCAUGGCAAUAUUUGUUAAAGAUUUAUUGGUAGUAGAUGGGCAUGCGCAGGAUUAGCUAGUUGGUUGAGGUAACGGCUCACCAAGGCAACGAUCCUUAGGGGUUCUGAGAGGAAGGUCCCCCACACUGGUACUGAGACACGGACCAGACUCCUACGGGAGGCAGCAGUGAGGAAUAUUGGUCAAUGGACGAGAGUCUGAACCAGCCAAGUCGCGUGAAGGAAGACGGUAUUAUGUAUUGUAAACUUCUUUUAUAGGGGAAUAAAAUGCGGCACGUGUGCUGUUUUGUAUGUACCCUAUGAAUAAGCAUCGGCUAACUCCGUGCCAGCAGCCGCCGUAA